RNAcentral lists this unclassified non-coding RNA (214 nucleotides) under soil metagenome. Its description in RNAcentral is "partial contains 5.8S ribosomal RNA, internal transcribed spacer 2, and large subunit ribosomal RNA". The record is from RNAcentral.
AACGGUCUAUACCUGCGGUACCUGCGGAGGGAUCAUUAACGAGUUUCGUCGGGGGCGGUGCCAGCGAUGUGCACGCCCCCUUCAAACCCCUCUAUCACACACCCGUGCACCUUUAUGAGAUCGAGGGAAGUCUCCCCUUGAUCUGAUCGUCUGACGCCGUAAAAGCGAAGGAAAGCGAAGAUUGUAAAAACACAACUUUUAACAAUGGAUCUCU